Molecule: ribosomal RNA, 483 nt
Filed under: uncultured bacterium
Lineage: Bacteria
Description: partial 16S ribosomal RNA
Rfam family: Bacterial small subunit ribosomal RNA
Source: RNAcentral
UUGAACGCUGGCGGCAGGCCUAACACAUGCAAGUCGAGCGGAUGAAGGGAGCUUGCUCCUGGAUUCAGCGGCGGACGGGUGAGUAAUGCCUAGGAAUCUGCCUGGUAGUGGGGGAUAACGUCCGGAAACGGGCGCUAAUACCGCAUACGUCCUGAGGGAGAAAGUGGGGGAUCUUCGGACCUCACGCUAUCAGAUGAGCCUAGGUCGGAUUAGCUAGUUGGUGGGGUAAAGGCCUACCAAGGCGACGAUCCGUAACUGGUCUGAGAGGAUGAUCAGUCACACUGGAACUGAGACACGGUCCAGACUCCUACGGGAGGCAGCAGUGGGGAAUAUUGGACAAUGGGCGAAAGCCUGAUCCAGCCAUGUCGCGUGUGUGAAGAAGGUCUUCGGAUUGUAAAGCACUUUAAGUUGGGAGGAAGGGCAGUAAGUUAAUACCUUGCUGUUUUGACGUUACCAACAGAAUAAGCACCGGCUAACUUCGUG